AACGCUGGCGGCGUGCCUAAUACAUGCAAGUAGAACGCUGAAGAGAGGAGCUUGCUCUUCUUGGAUGAGUUGCGAACGGGUGAGUAACGCGUAGGUAACCUGCCUUGUAGCGGGGGAUAACUAUUGGAAACGAUAGCUAAUACCGCAUAACAAUGGAUGACACAUGUCAUUUAUUUGAAAGGGGCAAUUGUUCCACUACAAGAUGGACCUGCGUUGUAUUAGCUAGUAGGUGAGGUAAUGGCUCACCUAGGCGACGAUACAUAGCCGACCUGAGAGGGUGAUCGGCCACACUGGGACUGAGACACGGCCCAGACUCCUACGGGAGGCAGCAGUAGGGAAUCUUCGGCAAUGGGGGCAACCCUGACCGAGCAACGCCGCGUGAGUGAAGAAGGUUUUCGGAUCGUAAAGCUCUGUUGUAAGUCAAGAACGGGUGUGAGAGUGGAAAGUUCACACUGUGACGGUAGCUUACCAGAAAGGGACGGCUAACUACGUGCCAGCAGCCGCGGUAAUACGUAGGUCCCGAGCGUUGUCCGGAUUUAUUGGGCGUAAAGCGAGCGCAGGCGGUUUGAUAAGUCUGAAGUUAAAGGCUGUGGCUCAACCAUAGUUCGCUUUGGAAACUGUCAAACUUGAGUGCAGAAGGGGAGAGUGGAAUUCCAUGUGUAGCGGUGAAAUGCGUAGAUAUAUGGAGGAACACCGGUGGCGAAAGCGGCUCUCUGGUCUGUAACUGACGCUGAGGCUCGAAAGCGUGGGGAGCGAACAGGAUUAGAUACCCUGGUAGUCCACGCCGUAAACGAUGAGUGCUAGGUGUUGGAUCCUUUCCGGGAUUCAGUGCCGCAGCUAACGCAUUAAGCACUCCGCCUGGGGAGUACGACCGCAAGGUUGAAACUCAAAGGAAUUGACGGGGGCCCGCACAAGCGGUGGAGCAUGUGGUUUAAUUCGAAGCAACGCGAAGAACCUUACCAGGUCUUGACAUCCCGAUGCUAUUUCUAGAGAUAGAAAGUUACUUCGGUACAUCGGUGACAGGUGGUGCAUGGUUGUCGUCAGCUCGUGUCGUGAGAUGUUGGGUUAAGUCCCGCAACGAGCGCAACCCCUAUUGUUAGUUGCCAUCAUUCAGUUGGGCACUCUAGCGAGACUGCCGGUAAUAAACCGGAGGAAGGUGGGGAUGACGUCAAAUCAUCAUGCCCCUUAUGACCUGGGCUACACACGUGCUACAAUGGUUGGUACAACGAGUUGCGAGUCGGUGACGGCGAGCUAAUCUCUUAAAGCCAAUCUCAGUUCGGAUUGUAGGCUGCAACUCGCCUACAUGAAGUCGGAAUCGCUAGUAAUCGCGGAUCAGCACGCCGCGGUGAAUACGUUCCCGGGCCUUGUACACACCGCCCGUCACACCACGAGAGUUUGUAACACCCGAAGUCGGUGAGGUAACCUUUUGGAGCCAGCCGCCUAAGGUGGGACAGAUGAUUGGGGUGAA
This 1468-nucleotide ribosomal RNA is filed under the name Streptococcus thermophilus. RNAcentral describes it as "bacterial SSU rRNA". It matches the Rfam family "Bacterial small subunit ribosomal RNA". Lineage: Bacteria; Bacillati; Bacillota; Bacilli; Lactobacillales; Streptococcaceae. The record is from RNAcentral.